RNAcentral lists this long non-coding RNA (1541 nucleotides) under Sus scrofa (pig). Its description in RNAcentral is "lncRNA (ENSSSCG00005005324.1)". The record is from RNAcentral. Lineage: Eukaryota; Metazoa; Chordata; Mammalia; Artiodactyla; Suidae.
AUGGUCCCUGGCUUCACAUGCGUCCAAACUGAGACUGCAUUCCCUCCACACCUGAUCAUUGGCUGCCCAGAAAGGUUAUUCAAGAGAACUCCAGUUUUGGUCUUAUUCUCGGUUUGUAAAUGGAAGAUGGGAAGUAAAGUCUUAAGGGCAAUAGACUCUGUACCUAAACCGAGUGUGGAUUUGCUUCCCUUCCUGGGAGUUCGUGAAAUCUCCCUGCUGCUCUCCUAAGGAGAGCCACAGACCUUGAGGGAUCAAUCAUUGAAGCUAGUUUCCUCCCAAAGGAGACUACUUCAUCUAACAUCUCUUACUUUACAAGGUGUAAUACGGUCUACAAACCACCAUCCCUCUGGUAAGCAGCUUUUUAAAAAUUUUUAUGUUUGUCUUUUUAGGGCCACACCUACAGCAUAUGGAAGUUCCCACACUACAGGUUGAAUCUGAGCUGCAGCUGCCAUCCUACCCCAUAGCCACAGCCAUGCUAGGAUUCAAGCCACAUCUGUGACCUACACCAUAGUUUGUGGUAACUCCAGAUCCAUAACCCAGUCAGCGAGGCCAGAUCAAACCUGCGUCCUCAUGGAUACUAGUCAGGUUCAUUACCACUGAGCCACCAUGGGAACUCCAUUGUAAGCAGUCAUGGAAUAGCGGAAAAGUGUAAACAGAAAAGGAACCAACAUUCACAGAGUGAAAUAAGUAGGAGAAUCCAGUCCAAACAAGUAGGAGAAAGCACUGUCCCCUUGAUACAAUGUCCUAUAUCUCACUUUUUAAUAACAAAAAAACUCCACAAAUUAUUCUUUUUUUUUUUUUUUUUUUUUUUUUUUUUUUUUUUUUUUUUUUUCUUUUGUUGUUGUUGUUGCUAUUUUUUGGGCCACUCCCAUGGCAUAUGGAGAUUCCCAGGCUAGGGGUUGAUUCGGAGCUGUAGCCACCGGCCUACACCAGAGCCACAGCAACACGGGAUCCGAGCCGCGUCUGCAACCUACACCACAGCUCAUGGCAACGCCGGAUCGUUAACCCACUGAGCAAGGGCAGGGACCGAACCCGCAACCUCAUGGUUCCUAGUCGGAUUCGUUAACCACUGCGCCACGAUGGGAACUCCCACAAAUUAUUCUUAAUUAAUAAAAUUAAAGCAUUUUAACAGCAUGCCAUAGACCUGAAUGAAAUGUUCUUUUGGGAAAACUAAAACAUUUAAGAACAUGUAAUCUGAAUUAUUUACUCUUAGUCUGCAGCUUAGCUGUUCAUUUUCUUAAUUUAUCUUUUUCUUUUGUAGUUAGAGCUUUUUGGGUAAAUACAAAAUAUUUACCUACCCCAGGACUGCCUCUGUCUUUUCUUACAGAAGCUUUAUGCUUGUAGCUCUUAUUUAUUUAUUUAUUUAUUUAGCUUUUUAGGGCCUCGCUUGCAGCAUAUGGAGAUUCCCAGGCUAGGGAUGGAAUCGGAGAUACAGCUGCUGGCCCACACCACAACCAGAGCAAUGCCAGAUCUGAGACACACCUGCAACCUACAUCACGGCUCAUGGCAAUGCCACAUCCCUGACCCAACGAGCGAGGCCA